GACGAACGCUGGCGGCGUGCUUAACACAUGCCAGUCGAACGGAAAGGCCCCUUUGGGGGUACUCGAGUGGCGAACGGGUGAGUAACACGUGAGUAACCUGCCCUUGACUUCGGGAUAACUUCAGGAAGCUGGGGCUAAUACCGGAUAGGAAUCCUUGCUGCAUGGUGGGGGUUGGAAAGCUUCGGCGGUUUUGGAUGGACUCGCGGCUUAUCAGCUUGUUGGUGGGGUAGUGGCUUACCAAGGCUUUGACGGGUAGCCGGCCUGAGAGGGCGACCGGCCACAUUGGGACUGAGAUACGGCCCAGACUCCGACGGGAGGCAGCAGUGGGGAAUAUUGCACAAUGGGCGGAAGCCUGAUGCAGCAACGCCGCGUGCGGGAUGACGGCCUUCGGGUUGUAAACCGCUUUCAGCAGGGGCGAAGCUUGUGGUGACGGUACCUGCAGAAGAAGCACCGGCUAACUACGUG
This 465-nucleotide ribosomal RNA is filed under the name uncultured bacterium. RNAcentral describes it as "partial 16S ribosomal RNA". It matches the Rfam family "Bacterial small subunit ribosomal RNA", at positions 28 to 507 of the family's 1533-position model. The record is from RNAcentral.